RNAcentral lists this ribosomal RNA (507 nucleotides) under uncultured bacterium. RNAcentral describes it as "partial 16S ribosomal RNA". The record is from RNAcentral.
GGAGUUAGCCGGUGCUUCUUCUGUGAGUGAUGUCCUUCCUGCCGGCUAUUAACCCGCAGGCCUUCUUCCUCACUGAAAGUGCUUUACAACCCGAAGGCCUUCUUCACACACGCGGCAUGGCUGGAUCAGGGUUGCCCCCAUUGUCCAAUAUUCCCCACUGCUGCCUCCCGUAGGAGUCUGGGCCGUGUCUCAGUCCCAGUGUGGCUGAUCAUCCUCUCAGACCAGCUACGGAUCGUCGCCUUGGUGAGCCGUUACCUCACCAACCAGCUAAUCCGACAUAGGCUCAUCCGAUAGCGCGAGGCCCGAAGGUCCCCCGCUUUCCCCCGUAUGGCGUAUGCGGUAUUAGCCUGGGUUUCCCCAGGUUAUCCCCCACUACCGGGCAGAUUCCUAUGCAUUACUCACCCGUCCGCCGCUCGCCACCAGGGAGCAAGCUCCCCGUGCUGCCGCUCGACUUGCAUGUGUUAGGCCUGCCGCCAGCGUUCAAUCUGAGCCAGGAUCAAACUCUGA